Molecule: regulatory RNA element, 28 nt
Organism: Flavobacterium sp. KMS
Lineage: Bacteria; Pseudomonadati; Bacteroidota; Flavobacteriia; Flavobacteriales; Flavobacteriaceae
Rfam family: L19-Flavobacteria ribosomal protein leader
Source: Rfam
CAACCUCUGGCGAAGUCCGUGUAUGUUG